Long non-coding RNA from Pyrus x bretschneideri (Chinese white pear), 2626 nucleotides. RefSeq lists it as uncharacterized. The transcript is spliced from 7 exons. NCBI's taxonomy places the organism in Eukaryota, Viridiplantae, Streptophyta, Magnoliopsida, Rosales, Rosaceae. The record is from RefSeq and is a predicted model, not a curated record.
GGAAAUAUUUUUGUUGUACAUAUUGCUAGUGAGAAAAAUUUAUUAUCUUGUUGUAAGUUAAGCAGAAAUUAUUUUUCCUUUCCUACUAUAGCACUCCCGCUAUAAUUUUCCAGAAUUUUUCAAGUAAGGCGCCCUUUUAUUCAGGAGUGCUAUAAUUUUCCAGAAUUUUCAAGUAAGGUGCCCUUUUAUUCACCUUUUCCCGCUGACAACCCAAAACCAUUUCCAAGUGUUUGAAAAAAAAAAAAAAAAAAAAAAAAAGGAGAAAACAUGAAAUCCCGGAUAACAUCAUUUAGUCUCUCUGAUUCAGACACUCUCUGUAGAACGAGAAAGAAUUGUGGGCGUUGCACUCUUGAGUGUUUUGAAUCACUCUCCAAACCCAAUCUUGCUGGUCGACGACGAUAGUGGUAACUGGGUAUAAUCGUGCAUUCUUGGAAAAAGGUUUUGUGAUUAGUCAUUCAAAUACAUGACCACAUGUCACUCUCUGCUCAUUGUCUCUCUUUCUCUCUGUCUCCCAACCAUUUCUACCAUGACCUCUUGUAAGUUUCAAUUCAAAACAGCUGAUUUUGAUCAACUAAGGGUUGUGUUGUUAACUUAUAUUUUUUCAAUUAGCAGUAAGAGAACUGUAAUUCUAGUUGGAAAUCAUUGAGUAUACCAUCUGCUUUAUCUCCUCUUAGGUAAGUUGUUUGACUUCUAAUUUUAUUGUUUUAACCUCUCAUGUUGUCCAUGUUGGGAAUUAUAUGUGGAUUUUGAUUUAUAAGAUAUAGAUAACAGUUUUUAGCAGUGGAUCGAAGUUGGAUGUUCCUUAGAUAUAGAUUUUGUGAUGCAUCCACUGCUAGUUUAAACUCGUUUAUAUUGGUUGUAAACAAACAUUUGAAUGAGAAUCUUCAUACAAGACACGUUAUCCAUGUAGAGACUGCCUAAAUGGGAAUCUUCAUUCUUUGCAUGUUAUUCGUUCCCAUUUAAGAAAGUGAAUCAAGUGACCUAAUAGAGAAUGAUAGUGAUAGUGAGAAUCAUGAUGAUCACAAGACGUUUGAGAUGGUACAUAGUUUUCAAAGGGCAGUAGAUAUGGAAACUAAUGUGAUGUACUUGCAUGUUUUGAUUUUUGCAUUUUCAUAUAGUUAUGGCAAAAUGGAGAAGCUACUAAUGUGAUGCAUAGUUUAACUUUGUUCAUUUUUCUUCUCGAAGAAUAUCACUAUGGCAAGAAAGAGGAAGCAAGUCCAUUGUGACUUUUCAAGUGAGGCAUCAAUAGACAAUGUACAAAUUAAGGUUGAUGCUGUUAUAACUUCAAACAGUAGGGUUGAUGCUGUUAUAACAUCAAGCAGUACGUAGGGGAGUGCUAAUGGUAUGCCUUUUUAUAAAUCUCAAAAGGUGUUAUGUUUUAUAGCAUGAAAAUGUUGCCCUUUUCUUUUAGGCUGUUAUUGGUGUUUUCAAUUGGUUCUUCUUACAUUGGUCCUCGUCCUUCUUGUUCCUCUUGUUUUGUACUUUCUUUGUACAUGUAAAAGGUUCUUGUAUCUUAUGUAAAAUAAAAUUUGCAUUGAUGAUAUUUUAGUUGAACAAAAGAAAAAAAAAAAACAAUCAAAGACCUGUGUAAAGAAUUCUGAUAAACUGCAAGAGCAGCUUGGUGGUAAGAAAAUACCAAUUACUUUGACAAAACUAAAAGGGAAGCCCACAGGCCUGAAUUCCUCAUUUCUUCUGAAUGAUAUUGGUUUUGUGGUUCAGACCUAUGCACCACUAAAUGUGAAGCAAUGGAGGAAUGUAGAAAAGAAGGAAGUCGAUAAGAUGAUUGAAAGAACAACGAAUGUAUUACAAAGGCGGUUUGUUGAUUUUCGACCCAAGCUGAAGACGCAUUUUGAUUCCUAUCCAACUCUGGAGGAGGCACAACAAAACAAACAUGAGGACGUAAACAGUUAGGAGGAAUGGAAGUUUCUUUGUGAUCGUUAUGCGAGUGUUCAAUUCAAGGAAGAUAAGAAUGCUAUCAAUAGGUCUCAUUUGACUUACAAUCAUAAUGCGGGGUUAAAAUCCUUUAGGGCCCAUGAAUAUGAGAUUGAAGCCAAAAUGGAGAGUAACCAAGUGCAAUUGAUUGCUUUGAGGCUGUGCGGACAAACAAAAAAAAUGGUUGGGAUGAAGGAGCUAAACUGAAGUGGGAAGAGAUGAUAGGUACGAAAAAUGACACAACUCUUCCAGAUGGUAAUGUGACAUUGACAAAUGAUGAAAUUGUUUUAGAGGUCCUUGGUCAUAAGUUUGGGUACUUCAAGGGUCCUUCAAAGUUUCUUUCUUCUGAAGACUCUGUGUUGCGCAAACAUUUAGAAGAAAGAGUUGAGACUCAACAACAAGAGCUUGUAACAACAAAACAAGAGCUUGUUGAAACAAAAGAAGAGCUUGAUGAAGCAAAACAAUAAAUCCAAGAAUUGAAGGAUAAUCAAAAGAAAUUUGAGGAACCCUUACACAAAAUAAUGGAAGGCCAACAACCACCUCCAUAGGUAGUCCUUUGGUUGUGCUGGAAUAUGUGAACUUUCAUAGUUGCUACCCAUUAAUCUUCACCAAUUUUGUAGACUAUGAAUUAUCAUUGUAAGCUAUUUCGUGUUUUGGACUACUAUAAUUAAGUUCUAGUACUUUUCAUCAUUCA